This is a non-coding RNA of Cyanistes caeruleus (blue tit), 828 nucleotides long. The record is from RefSeq and is a predicted model, not a curated record. Lineage: Eukaryota; Metazoa; Chordata; Aves; Passeriformes; Paridae.
GGCUGACGCUGUGGCCGCGGCGCCUUGUGUCUUGCAGGAGAACGGGCGCUGCACCACCAAGCUGGAGAGCAUGGGCUUCCGCGUCGGGCAGGGGCUCAUCGAGAGGUUUACAAAAGAUACUGCCAGGUUCAAGGAUGAAUUAGAUAUUAUGAAGUUUAUUUGCAAAGAUUUUUGGACAACGGUAUUCAAAAAACAAAUAGAUAAUCUAAGGACUAAUCACCAGGGUAUUUAUGUCCUUCAAGACAAUAAAUUUCGUCUCUUGACACAAAUGUCUUCAGGAAAGCAGUAUUUAGAACAUGCACCAAAGUAUUUAGCAUUCACCUGUGGACUAAUCAGAGGGGGCCUAUCAAACCUGGGAAUAAAGAGUAUUGUAACAGCUGAAGUUUCAUCAAUGCCUGCAUCAUUUUUCAAGGUGGAAUUUGUUUGAAGCUGCUGGGCCACAGGAGUCCAUGUGAACUUCAGGGUAUGGUUUGCCACUAAAUCCUUUAGUACUUAGAAACUGAUGGAGGAUAAGCCUCCAUGAUGUCGAGUGUAAAGCAAAACUAAAAAGUUGUAUUUAUAUUUAGAAGCAUCAAGUGUGUAAGGAUGUGUGUCCAGAAAGUUAUUUGCACAAGUGAAGAUCUUUCUCUGUAGGAGUCAUUAAGAAAGUUAGUAAAUUUCAGGUGAUGAUACAGAAGAUGUAGAGCAGAUUCAAAUCUGGGUAUCUACUUUAAAUAGUCUUUGUAUGUGGAUUCAAUAUCUUGGCUCAGUCUUGUAUAUAACAUGUAAAUUAUAGCAGUGUGCAGCACAAUUCCAAAAUAUAUAAUAAAUGCACAUGGAAAUAACACU